AACUUAAAGGCUUUGAUCAUUAAGUCCAUGAUGCUUCCUUCCAACAUGUUGAUAACCAUGCUAAUUGAAGAACCAAUUAAAUGAACUGGAAGUAAAGCAAGGGGAUCAAGAAGGUGGAUUUUCUGGUGUACUUCUUCGAGUAUAUGAGCCUCACAAUGAGCUUGUUAACUGUAAUUAUUGCAGGACUUCACUAGUGGAUUUUCACAGAAGUUGCUCAAAUUGCUCUUACAAACUUUGCUUAGAUUGUUGCAGAAAGAUAGUAAAGGGAUCUGCUUCUCAGACACCUGCAAUUGAUUCCUCCAAGGCUGGUAGGAGACAGAGGGCAAAGAAGUAUGUCAUCAGAGAAAUUGUUGGGAAAAGACGGAGACGUUC
This is a long non-coding RNA of Zingiber officinale, 372 nucleotides long. RefSeq lists it as uncharacterized. The transcript has 5 exons. Lineage: Eukaryota; Viridiplantae; Streptophyta; Magnoliopsida; Zingiberales; Zingiberaceae. The record is from RefSeq and is a predicted model, not a curated record.